UUCUGGCCAGAAGACUCCUUUUUUCCAUCACAUGGCCGUGCACACCUCAACCUGUCCUGAAUACUUUUUCCAAGGAGCAGAGAAUCUUCUAUGAAUCUUCAAUAAACAUUUGUAUCAAAACAAAUUUGUUUUGGUUUUUACAUAUCAAAUAAUUAUUUUGUCUUCUCUUAUAACUAAAAUGAAGAGGCCUCGGGUUUUUGUGUAUUUCUUCUGGAAAUUUGAUUUGCGAGAAAAUCUUGGCUGUCCUUCAUUUUACUCGGUCUAUUUUUGCCUUUAAAGGAGUUUCCUUUAGAUCUAUGCACUAUUUUAAAUUAAUUAUUUACUGUUAGAUCAUAGUGUUUCAUUUUGAUUUUUCCCCUAGCGUUAACUAAAAACGGUUCAAAAAUAUACUUGAAUAGUUGAGUUUGUCUUUGUGUUUGAGUUUUUUAGUUUGUAUUUAACAGAAAACAUUUGAUUUUUUCUCUAUUUCUGGUGAAGUUCUGAAGGUCUUCUCGUAUGAUAUAGCAAAAUUUGGUAUACUAUAUUUCUCAGUUAAAGUUUGUUUGCAUAUUUGAUCUCUUCUUUAAUAAAAUGAACAGGAUUACGUGCCUACCAUUUUUGACAAUUUCAGUGCCAAUGUCUUUGUGGAUGGGAGCACUGUUAAUCUAGGUUUAUGGGAUACUGCUAGUACAUUACUUGUUUCCUGCUGAAGUAUUUUCUUAUUGAUCUUUAAACCUAUUGUUGAGUAGUUUUGACUCUUAUUUCAUUAAAAAGGUCAGGAGGAUUACAAUAGGUUAAGACCGUUGAGCUACUGUGGUGCUGAUGUCUUUAUACUUGCAUUUUCCCUCAUUGGCAGGGCUAGUUACGAAAACGUCUCUAAAAAGGUGAGCCUAUGUUUUGCCAGUAUCAUGCAUUCUUCCCUUGUCUACAUGUUAUAUUCAUUUGGUAUUGAAUAGAGGGAAAAAGAGAAAGAAAGAAGGCAUAAAUAAUCUCAUUGUGUUUUACUAAGAAAAAAGGAGACCAGCAAGAGUGGAUUCCUGAAUUGAGACAUUAUGCUCCUGGUGUUCCAAUCAUUCUUGUCGGCACAAAACUUGAAUAUUAAGGCAGUCUUUGAUGCUGCCAUUAAGCUUGUCCUGCAGCAACCAAAGCAAAAGAAGAAAAAGAAUAGAAAGGAUCAAAAGGCUUGCAGUAUAUUGUGACUGCUAAAAGAAAUGCCACGGAGCAGAAGAUUAUUUUCCGUAUUAAUCUGAUUUCCUCUCAUAGCCCCCUGUCGAGGAUACAACAACCUGUGAGUUUACUUGACUUACUAUACCAGGGGGGCUCACGUUAAACCAUCAUGUUGUCAACUGCUGUUUGAGAUGUACAUUUAUGAGUGUGAUUUGUUCUGGUGAUAUGAAAAUGCUUCUUAAGAACCAUAGAUUCUGUAAUUUCUAAGCUUGUGUGUACCAAAGUUCUCUUUGUGGACUUUCUGAAUUUCAUGUGUAUCAUGGUUAGAAAAGUAAAAAUGGAGAGACUAGUUUCACUAUACUUGUGGAUGAUUUAGCUCCAGUUUGAUUUUGCUAAAAAUCAAAUUUUUAGUAGAUUUUGAUAAAAAUUAAUG
Molecule: long non-coding RNA, 1579 nt
Organism: Olea europaea var. sylvestris
Lineage: Eukaryota; Viridiplantae; Streptophyta; Magnoliopsida; Lamiales; Oleaceae
Exons: 3
Source: RefSeq, a predicted model, not a curated record